UUUGGGAAAUGAUGAACAAUUCAUCUCAGAUAUCCUUUAUGGAUUUAUUUUCAGAAUGAUGAAAAUUUGCACGUCAGUCUGAUCCCAAA
Molecule: non-coding RNA, 89 nt
Organism: Oryza nivara
Lineage: Eukaryota; Viridiplantae; Streptophyta; Magnoliopsida; Poales; Poaceae
Source: Rfam